AAUGAACGUUGGCGGCGUGGAUUAGGCAUGCAAGUCGUGCGGAAAGGCCCCGCAAGGGGUACUCGAGCGGCGAAAGGGAUAGUAACACGUAGGUCACCUACCUUCGGGACGGGAAUAGCUGGGGGAAACUCCAAUUAAUGCCCGAUAACGUCUCCGGACCAAAGGUGUAAUUCCGCCUGAAGACGGACCUGCGUCCUAUCAGCUAGUUGGUGAGGUAACGGCCCACCAAGGCAACGACGGGUAGCGGGUGUGAGAGCACGACCCGCAUCACUGGGACUGAGACACUGCCCAGACACCUACGGGUGGCUGCAGUCGAGAAUCUUCGUCAAUGGGCGAAAGCCUGAACGAGCGACGCCGCGUGCGGGAUGAAGGCCCUCGGGUUGUAAACCGCUGUCAGUGAGGAGGAAACUCUAGGGGGAUCACCCCCUAGUCUGACCUAUUUGCAGAGGAAGGACGGGCUAAGUUCGUGCCAGCCGCCGCCGUAAUAC
Molecule: ribosomal RNA, 488 nt
Filed under: uncultured bacterium
Lineage: Bacteria
Description: bacterial SSU rRNA
Rfam family: Bacterial small subunit ribosomal RNA
Source: RNAcentral